Long non-coding RNA from Drosophila gunungcola (fruit fly), 1096 nucleotides. RefSeq lists it as uncharacterized. The transcript has 3 exons. Lineage: Eukaryota; Metazoa; Arthropoda; Insecta; Diptera; Drosophilidae. The record is from RefSeq and is a predicted model, not a curated record.
GCCACUGUUCGGGCCAGGCUGAUAAAACAAGUUUGUUGCCUUGCAUUGAAGUCUUUCAUUUCGUUGCGUUGUGCGUUCCGUUUAGUGCUGUACAGCAGCGUACACUCUGCAAAUCUCAUUGAUUGCCACACCAACACUUAUCCACUCGCAGCGAUUAUGAUAUCUGCCGCUGGUGUUUCUUUCGUGGUUGUUGUGGCAAGUGACUCACGGGGUGGUUGCCAAACCCAGCACAACAACCACAUUUACAUAUACAUCGCCAACGAUCGACGACAGGUUGCAGUCUAAGAAUGUAUGCAAACUUGACAGCUCCAGCGAUCGCAAAUUAUUGUUAUUACCGAUGGAGCUUUGAUGCCGGAAUUGCGAAAGGUUUAUGUUGCUGCAUGCCCAGAAUCGGAAUCUUGCCAAACACCCGGGCAUCAGCAUAAACGGUAUCUGGGAAAUGCGAGAAACCAGCUGCGAAAAUACCAAACUCCAGAAAUUUCCAUUCUGCUAGGGGGAAACCAAUGAAACUAAUGCAAUUCAAUAAAUUGCCCGGCUAAUUAUACACAGGCGGAGUUCUACGAAGAAGUAGUGAAAAUAUAACCCAGGUGAAUCAGACUUACUAUGCAGAAUGUCGGCCACCUGCAUGACCAACAAUCAGUGAUCCAUCAAGGGGGCAGGAAAAGGUUUGGAGCACUUUCGGAACCGUUUGACUUCGGGCUAAUAUUUUGAUGUAUUCGGAAGUGUUUGGCACUUGACUGCCCGGCAACCAGGUUGAUAAGCCAGCUCAAUUGGGAGAUAAGAUUCCUGUAAGCGGUCGUUAAGGAAGUGCUCACUAGCAGAUAAUGAGCGACACAAGCCAACAGUGACUUUGGCGUAACGAUCUAAACGAACUUCGUUAACUUAGGUCGCCACUUAGGCUGUUAGCCGAACUUGAGGACUGAGCACUAUGGAGUUUAGAUCGCAAAAAUGGAAGUGCACAGGUGUUCAGGGCAUACUAUUCUCACAGUGAUCAAAACAAUAAAGCCUGUUUCUGGACCCACACCGGUGGCAACAAUGAAGACAGUCUAACUCGAUAGUAAUGAUACGCGGUCGGAGCUGGAGCGGUGCGAUCAGC